This 71-nucleotide transfer RNA is filed under the name Phrynocephalus putjatai. RNAcentral's name for it is "tRNA-Leu". It matches the Rfam family "tRNA". Rfam says of the family: Transfer RNA (tRNA) molecules are approximately 80 nucleotides in length. Their secondary structure includes four short double-helical elements and three loops (D, anti-codon, and T loops). Further hydrogen bonds mediate the characteristic L-shaped molecular structure. tRNAs have two regions of fundamental functional importance: the anti-codon, which is responsible for specific mRNA codon recognition, and the 3' end, to which the tRNAs corresponding amino acid is attached (by aminoacyl-tRNA synthetases). tRNAs cope with the degeneracy of the genetic code in two manners: having more than one tRNA (with a specific anti-codon) for a particular amino acid; and 'wobble' base-pairing, i.e. permitting non-standard base-pairing at the 3rd anti-codon position. RNAcentral also lists the same sequence under 1 other name. The record is from RNAcentral. Lineage: Eukaryota; Metazoa; Chordata; Lepidosauria; Squamata; Agamidae.
ACUUUUAAAGGAUAAUAGCAAUCCCGUGGUCUUAGGAACCAUAAACCUUGGUGCAACUCCAAGUAAAAGCC